GACGAAGGUGGCAAGCGUUAUUCGGAUCUACUGGGCAUAAAGCGCGCGUAGGCGGCUUGGCAAGUCGGUGGUGAAAGCCCGCAGCUCAACUGCGGAACUGCCUUCGAUACUGCCGGGCUUGAGGGCGGGAGGGGUGAUUGGAACUCCAGGUGUAGCGGUGAAAUGCGUAGAUAUCUGGAGGAACACCGGAGGCGAAGGCGAAUCACUGGACCGCAUCUGACGCUGAGGCGCGAAAGCUAGGGGAGCAAACAGG
RNAcentral lists this ribosomal RNA (253 nucleotides) under uncultured bacterium. RNAcentral describes it as "partial 16S ribosomal RNA". It matches the Rfam family "Bacterial small subunit ribosomal RNA", at positions 524 to 776 of the family's 1533-position model. The record is from RNAcentral.